RNAcentral lists this ribosomal RNA (614 nucleotides) under Frondihabitans sp. Ri2Ps_4857. Its description in RNAcentral is "bacterial SSU rRNA". It matches the Rfam family "Bacterial small subunit ribosomal RNA", at positions 394 to 1011 of the family's 1533-position model. The record is from RNAcentral. Lineage: Bacteria; Bacillati; Actinomycetota; Actinomycetes; Micrococcales; Microbacteriaceae.
ACGCCGCGUGAGGGAUGACGGCCUUCGGGUUGUAAACCUCUUUUAGUUGGGAAGAAGGGAGCUUGCUCUUGACGGUACCUUCAGAAAAAGCACCGGCUAACUACGUGCCAGCAGCCGCGGUAAUACGUAGGGUGCAAGCGUUGUCCGGAAUUAUUGGGCGUAAAGAGCUCGUAGGCGGUUUGUCGCGUCUGCUGUGAAAUCUGGGGGCUCAACCCCCAGCCUGCAGUGGGUACGGGCAAACUAGAGUGCGGUAGGGGAGAUUGGAAUUCCUGGUGUAGCGGUGGAAUGCGCAGAUAUCAGGAGGAACACCGAUGGCGAAGGCAGAUCUCUGGGCCGUUACUGACGCUGAGGAGCGAAAGCAUGGGGAGCGAACAGGAUUAAAUACCCUGGUAGUCCAUGCCGUAAACGUUGGGAACUAGAUGUAGGGGCCAUUCCACGGUUUCUGUGUCGCAGCUAACGCAUUAAGUUCCCCGCCUGGGGAGUACGGCCGCAAGGCUAAAACUCAAAGGAAUUGACGGGGGCCCGCACAAGCGGCGGAGCAUGCGGAUUAAUUCGAUGCAACGCGAAGAACCUUACCAAGGCUUGACAUAUACCGGAAACGUCCAGAGAUGGUC